UCAGAUCCUGACCUGAGCCAAAAUCUAGGGUGGGACACUUAAACAACGGAGCCACCCAGGCACCCCUGGAAUCUGGAAUCUUCUAUUCACCAACAGUGUAACAGGAGACAAAUUACUUCCUCUCUGAUUCACAGUGUUCUCAUCUGUAAAACAGAGGUAAUGACAGUUCCUAUUUCAUAAAGUGAUGAGUAGAAAUCAAGGUUAUGCAUGGGAAAUGCUUGGUAUGGUGAAACACAGUACCUAGAAGUGUCAAUAGGUGUUACUAUCAUUGUCAUCUUUAUUAUUGCAGAUACGAACUCAGACAUGGAUCUAACGUUCUUCCCACAAUGAAACAGAAUGUUGCGUUUAAUACCCAGAGCCAACUCAGAUCCCCUUGUUCCCUGAUGAAACCAGAUCUCUUCCCUCUCAGGCGGAGGACCUGUAUGUCUCCCUGCUGUCCUCCUGCAGAGACUUGUAACACUUCCUCCCCCAAUCCUCGUCUUCGCUGACAGACUUCCUGUUUCGCCGAGAAAAUAGAAGCAAGCCAGAGAGGAUUCCACAAGCUCCCACCUGCACUUGUCCCCCAUCCCUGCCUUCUGUCCUGUGGGUGCCAGGGAGGAAGGCCCUCCUGCAGGUGCACACACUCCAUCCCUCCAGCCUUCUCUGGUGAGUGUCCUUCUUUCUCCUUCAUGGUGCCAUCAGCAGGACUUUCCUCCACUGUCACAAGGCCACCUCCUGAUGACCCACCUGCCCCUGUAGCCACCACCUCAUGUUUCUGACCGUCUCUACAGCACAACCACUUUUGCUCACCACCUUCACCUUCUCUUUCUGCAUCCCCUCUGAACCCUUGCCAGCCUGCUGUGUCCCACUGUCCCACUGAAACUCCUCGUUUGCUAAGCCUUCCACGUUGGCAGACCCAAUGCUUGAUCCUCAUUUCCCAGACCUGUGGCAGCAUGGGAGCCCUCUUCCUGCACUGCCCUGGCCUCCAGUAUUGUUCCUGUUUCUGACUCCAAGCAAGGCUCCCUGCAACCACUCCUGCCCAUCUUCACAGGCACAUCUCUGACCUGCUCAUAUUCCUCCCCUGCUGCCCACCCACUCAGUCUCCAAGCCCUGGGUGGGGCAGGGAACUCCAAGUUCCUACAUGGACUGCCCUCUCCCCAAACCACCCCCAGGACCUCUCUGACCUCUGCUUACUGCCAUACCUUACUCUCUGUGCUCUAGACACGUCUGCCUCAUUGCUGUCCCACAAACACGCCAAGCACACUCUUCCACAGGGCCUUUGCACUUGCUCUUCCCUCUGUCUAGAAUGUUCUUCCUCCAGAAUCCACUUGGCUCACUCCUUUGUCACCUUCAUGUUUCUGCUCUAGUGUCACUUUCUUGGGAGGACCUUCCUGGCCAUCCCCUCAGCCAUCCUGGUGGCCCCUCACUGCCACUCAGCACUCCUUAGUCUCCUUUUCUUUCUUUUUUUUUUUAAGUUUUUUUUUUUAUUAAUCUCUACAUUGUGGGGCACAA
This is a long non-coding RNA of Herpailurus yagouaroundi (jaguarundi), 1491 nucleotides long. RefSeq lists it as uncharacterized. NCBI's taxonomy places the organism in Eukaryota, Metazoa, Chordata, Mammalia, Carnivora, Felidae. The record is from RefSeq and is a predicted model, not a curated record. The transcript has 3 exons.